GCGGGGGACCACAUUUGGAAACAGAUGCUAAUACCGCAUAACAGCGUUGUUCGCAUGAACAACGCUUAAAAGAUGGCUUCUCGCUAUCACUUCUGGAUGGACCUGCGGUGCAUUAGCUUGUUGGUGGGGUAACGGCCUACCAAGGCGAUGAUGCAUAGCCGAGUUGAGAGACUGAUCGGCCACAAUGGGACUGAGACACGGCCCAUACUCCUACGGGAGGCAGCAGUAGGGAAUCUUCCACAAUGGGCGCAAGCCUGAUGGAGCAACACCGCGUGAGUGAAGAAGGGUUUCGGCUCGUAAAGCUCUGUUGUUAAAGAAGAACACGUAUGAGAGUAACUGUCCAUACGUUGACGUAUUAACCAGAAAUCACG
Molecule: ribosomal RNA, 371 nt
Filed under: Lactobacillus sp. oral taxon A89
Lineage: Bacteria; Bacillati; Bacillota; Bacilli; Lactobacillales; Lactobacillaceae
Description: bacterial SSU rRNA
Rfam family: Bacterial small subunit ribosomal RNA
Source: RNAcentral